AUUCGCGUGCACGCGCGUGAGAGGGGACCAGGCACGCAACCGUUAGGAGACUGUCUGGAGUCUGUCUCAAAUUGAUAAAUUUGGAAAUGGAGUUUUACGGGUCUCUGUGCAUCUACAAGGAAGCCGCCUGCUGGGAAAUUUGGAUCUUUGCGCUCCUCCUCAGACGUCGCUUCACCUUGAGUCGCCACGCUUUUGACGAAAUGUUUAUUUUUCUUCUUUAGAAAACAAAAAACCCAAAGUUUUUUUCCCCCCUCUUCUGCAGUCCAUCAGCAGGCAGACAGCUCCUUGUGCCCAGGGAAUUGUUCCUCACCCAUGGAGUUCAAGAUGAGUGCAUCAUGCACGAGGCAGCCUAUAAAAGCACAUAAAGCUGCUGACAUUGACAGUUAUGAUUUCCUGUCAACAAAUGUGCAGAGAGAGCUGUGUUGGUGGACUAGGAGGAAGAUGUCACACUAAGGAUGGGGUUUUUUGGCGAUGAUGUUGGUGCUGUUGAUGCAGCAUCGAGCUCUCACUUUGUGCCUCUGUCAGCUAUGAUCCGUAACCAUAAAGUGAGUGACAGGCCAUUCUCCGGGGGGAAAGCAGAGGUCUGAGAAGCUCAGGCUCCUUUCAGAGGCAGCGAAGAAGACUGACCGUCUCGAAGACAGUGCUGGGAGCAGCCCCCAAUCUGCUCCAACGCUAG
This is a long non-coding RNA of Xiphophorus maculatus (southern platyfish), 676 nucleotides long. RefSeq lists it as uncharacterized. Lineage: Eukaryota; Metazoa; Chordata; Actinopteri; Cyprinodontiformes; Poeciliidae. The transcript is spliced from 5 exons. The record is from RefSeq and is a predicted model, not a curated record.